This 741-nucleotide ribosomal RNA is filed under the name Peronospora aconiti. Its description in RNAcentral is "eukaryotic LSU rRNA". It matches the Rfam family "Eukaryotic large subunit ribosomal RNA", at positions 49 to 659 of the family's 3401-position model. Lineage: Eukaryota; Oomycota; Peronosporomycetes; Peronosporales; Peronosporaceae. The record is from RNAcentral.
AGCGGAGGAAAAGAAACUAACAAGGAUUCCCCUAGUAACGGCGAGUGAAGCGGGAUGAGCUCAAGCUUAAAAUCUCCGUACAAAUUUUGUACGGCGAAUUGUAGUCUAUAGAGGCGUGGUCAGCGCGGGCGCUUAGGGCAAGUUCCUUGGAAGAGGACAGCAUGGAGGGUGAUACUCCCGUUCAUUCCUGAGUGGCUCGUGCGUACGACCCGUUUUCUUUGAGUCGCGUUGUUUGAGAAUGCAGCGCAAAGUAGGUGGUAAAUUCCAUCUAAAGCUAAAUAUUGGUGCGAGACCGAUAGUAAACAAGUACCGUGAGGGAAAGAUGAAAAGAACUUUGAAAAGAGAGUUAAAGAGUACCUGAAACUGCUGAAAGGGAACCGAAUCGUAUCCAGUCUAUAAUCUGUGGCAUAUUCCAUUGGCGAGUGCGUGCGUGCGUCUGCUGCAUGUGCUUGCUGGUGCCCUGUGCUGCGGUGGGACGUCAAGGUCAGUUCGUAUACUGCGGGAAAUGACUGCCGAGGAGGUAGGGCUUACGCUUGCGUUUGUCUGUUAUAUCUUGGCGGACGAGUCGUCGCGGUUGGGACUGAGGUGCCUACAACGUGCUUUUGAGUGGGUUUGUGUCUCCGUGUGUGCCGUGUGCGGAUAGCUUGCUAUGUGCGUGUGGUUAUGUGUGGAUUGAUGUGGACUUUAACUUGUUGCCGUUCGGGACGUUGACGAAAUGGAGCGAUCCGACCCGUCUUGAAA